GAUGAACGCUGGCGGCGUGCCUAACACAUGCAAGUCGAGCGAUUUACUUCGGUAAAGAGCGGCGGACGGGUGAGUAACGCGUGGGUAACCUGCCCUGUACACACGGAUAACAUACCGAAAGGUAUGCUAAUACGAGAUAAUAUACUUUUAUCUCAUGGUAGAAGUAUCAAAGCUCUGGCGGUACAGGAUGGACCCGCGUCUGAUUAGCUAGUUGGUAAGGUAACGGCUUACCAAGGCGACGAUCAGUAGCCGACCUGAGAGGGUGAUCGGCCACAUUGGAACUGAGACACGGUCCAAACUCCUACGGGAGGCAGCAGUGGGGAAUAUUGCACAAUGGGCGAAAGCCUGAUGCAGCAACGCCGCGUGAGCGAUGAAGGCCUUCGGUCGUAAAGCUCUGUCCUCAGAAGAUAAUGACGGUACUUGUAGGAGGAAGCCCGGCUAACUACGUGCCAGCAGCCGCGGUAA
This 465-nucleotide ribosomal RNA is filed under the name uncultured bacterium. Its description in RNAcentral is "bacterial SSU rRNA". It matches the Rfam family "Bacterial small subunit ribosomal RNA", at positions 28 to 523 of the family's 1533-position model. The record is from RNAcentral.